RNAcentral lists this ribosomal RNA (68 nucleotides) under Azospirillum brasilense. RNAcentral describes it as "partial 16S ribosomal RNA". It matches the Rfam family "Bacterial small subunit ribosomal RNA", at positions 1 to 65 of the family's 1533-position model. Lineage: Bacteria; Pseudomonadati; Pseudomonadota; Alphaproteobacteria; Rhodospirillales; Azospirillaceae. The record is from RNAcentral.
CUUGAACCUGAGAGUUUGAUCCUGGCUCAGAACGAACGCUGGCGGCAUGCCUAACACAUGCAAGUCGA